RNAcentral lists this transfer RNA (64 nucleotides) under Pseudocolaspis sp. EMHAU-15071004. Its description in RNAcentral is "tRNA-Leu". It matches the Rfam family "tRNA". Rfam says of the family: Transfer RNA (tRNA) molecules are approximately 80 nucleotides in length. The record is from RNAcentral. Lineage: Eukaryota; Metazoa; Arthropoda; Insecta; Coleoptera; Chrysomelidae.
UCUAGAAUGGCAGAAUAGUGCAUUGGACUUAAGAUCUAAACAUAAAGUUAAACUUUUUCUAGAA